ACGGAAGGCAGCAGUGGGGGAUAUUGCGCAAUGGGGGAAACCCUGACGCAGCAACGCCGCGUGAAGGAAGAAGGUCUUCGGAUUGUAAACUUUUGUCUUUUGGGACGAUAGUGACGGUACCAAAGGAGGAAGCCACGGCUAACUACGUGCCAGCAGCCGCGGUAAUACGUAGGUGGCGAGCGUUGUCCGGAAUUACUGGGUGUAAAGGGCGUGUAGGCGGGUAAUCAAGUCAGAUGUGAAAUACCGGGGCUCAACGCCGGGGCUGCAUUUGAAACUGAAUAUCUUGAGUGCAGGAGAGGAAAGCGGAAUUCCUAGUGUAGCGGUGAAAUGCGUAGAUAUUAGGAGGAACACCGGUGGCGAAGGCGGCUUUCUGGACUGUAACUGACGCUGAGGCGCGAAAGCGUGGGGAGCAAACAGGAUUAGAUACCCUGGUA
Molecule: ribosomal RNA, 434 nt
Filed under: uncultured Oscillospiraceae bacterium
Lineage: Bacteria; Bacillati; Bacillota; Clostridia; Eubacteriales; Oscillospiraceae
Description: partial 16S ribosomal RNA
Rfam family: Bacterial small subunit ribosomal RNA
Source: RNAcentral